GACGGGGCCCGCACAAGCGGUGGAGCAUGUGGUUUAAUUCGACGCAACGCGAAGAACCUUACCUAGGCUUGACAUGCUGGAGAAAGCUUGCGGAAACGUGAGCCCUCUUCGGAGUUCCAGCACAGAUGCUGCAUGGCUGUCGUCAGCUCGUGUCGUGAGAUGUUGGGUUAACGUCCCGCAACGAGCGCAACCCUCACUCUUAGUUACCAGCGGGUAAAGCCGGGGACUCUAGGGGGACUGCCGGUGCCAAACCGGAGGAAGGUGGGGAUGACGUCAAGUCAUCAUGGCUCUUACGUCUAGGGCUACACACGUGCUACAAUGGGCCGGACAGAGGGUCGCCAACUCGCGAGAGUGAGCCAAUCCCCAAACCGGUCCUCAGUUCGGAUUGUAGUCUGCAACUCGACUACAUGAAGCUGGAAUCGCUAGUAAUCGUGGAUCAGCUACGCCACGGUGAAUACGUUCCCGGGCCUU
Molecule: ribosomal RNA, 471 nt
Filed under: uncultured Gemmatimonadaceae bacterium
Lineage: Bacteria; Pseudomonadati; Gemmatimonadota; Gemmatimonadia; Gemmatimonadales; Gemmatimonadaceae
Description: bacterial SSU rRNA
Rfam family: Bacterial small subunit ribosomal RNA
Source: RNAcentral